This 87-nucleotide small RNA is filed under the name Metabacillus harenarius. RNAcentral describes it as "Bacillus weihaiensis BsrC". It matches the Rfam family "BsrC". From Rfam's summary of the family: The 301 nucleotide sequence from Kouji Nakamura has been trimmed to a highly conserved ~85 nucleotide long core to form this family. Lineage: Bacteria; Bacillati; Bacillota; Bacilli; Caryophanales; Bacillaceae. The record is from Rfam by way of RNAcentral.
AAGCCUCAAAACAACGAAAGCCCUACCUCUCUUUCGUCCUUACGGCUCCUUGACCGCGCCAGUGUGAAUUGAAGUAGAAACGAAUUU